CCCUUAGAGUUUGAUCCUGGCUCAGGAUGAACGCUAGCUACAGGCUUAACACAUGCAAGUCGAGGGGAAACGAUAUUGGAAGCUUGCUUCCGAUAGGCGUCGACCGGCGCACGGGUGAGUAACGCGUAUCCAACCUGCCCAUCACUUGGGGAUAACCUUGCGAAAGUAAGACUAAUACCCAAUGAUAUCUCAAGAAGACAUCUGAAUGAGAUUAAAGAUUUAUCGGUGAUGGAUGGGGAUGCGUCUGAUUAGCUUGUUGGCGGGGUAACGGCCCACCAAGGCUACGAUCAGUAGGGGUUCUGAGAGGAAGGUCCCCCACAUUGGAACUGAGACACGGUCCAAACUCCUACGGGAGGCAGCAGUGAGGAAUAUUGGUCAAUGGGCGAGAGCCUGAACCAGCCAAGUAGCGUGCAGGAUGACGGCCCUAUGGGUUGUAAACUGCUUUUAUAAGGGAAUAAAGUGAGCCUCGUGAGACUUUUUGCAUGUACCUUAUGAAUAAGGACCGGCUAAUUCCGUGCCAGCAGCCGCGGUAAUACGGAAGGUCCGGGCGUUAUCCGGAUUUAUUGGGUUUAAAGGGAGCGUAGGCCGGAGAUUAAGCGUGUUGUGAAAUGUAGACGCUCAACGUCUGCACUGCAGCGCGAACUGGUUUCCUUGAGUACGCACAAAGUGGGCGGAAUUCGUGGUGUAGCGGUGAAAUGCUUAGAUAUCACGAAGAACUCCGAUUGCGAAGGCAGCUCACUGGAGCGCAACUGACGCUGAAGCUCGAAAGUGCGGGUAUCGAACAGGAUUAGAUACCCUGGUAGUCCGCACGGUAAACGAUGGAUGCCCGCUGUUGGUCUGAAUAGGUCAGCGGCCAAGCGAAAGCAUUAAGCAUCCCACCUGGGGAGUACGCCGGCAACGGUGAAA
This 906-nucleotide ribosomal RNA is filed under the name uncultured bacterium. Its description in RNAcentral is "bacterial SSU rRNA". It matches the Rfam family "Bacterial small subunit ribosomal RNA", at positions 1 to 899 of the family's 1533-position model. The record is from RNAcentral.